RNAcentral lists this long non-coding RNA (335 nucleotides) under Androctonus crassicauda. Lineage: Eukaryota; Metazoa; Arthropoda; Arachnida; Scorpiones; Buthidae. The record is from RNAcentral.
UUUAUUUGAAGUACUUUCGGGUUGAAACUCAUCAUCGGUAAAUGCACACUGGAAGCGCGACAGAGCGGAGAGAGUUCCUGGAUGCACUGGUCGCCUUAAGCUCCACCUACACAGUGAUAAAUUACAUAAUCACUUUCCCUACUGCCAGAAAAAAUAAAUCUGACGCACGUCAUAACAUCUUGUCACACAUUCUCCCGCCAGUUUGUUUUAUUUUGGUUGUUUUAGUUUGUGUGUAUUACUCAUGUUUUGUUACAUUUUUAUAUUAUUAUUACCAUGAUUUUCAUUUUUAUUAUUACUAUUAUUAUUAUUAUUUUUACGGUCCUGUUAUGCUCAUA